This 886-nucleotide ribosomal RNA is filed under the name uncultured Candidatus Saccharibacteria bacterium. RNAcentral describes it as "bacterial SSU rRNA". It matches the Rfam family "Bacterial small subunit ribosomal RNA", at positions 571 to 1482 of the family's 1533-position model. The record is from RNAcentral. Lineage: Bacteria; Candidatus Saccharimonadota.
GUAGGUGGCAGAGUAUGUCUGUAGUGAAAGCGUGUGGCUCAACCAUAUACACAUUACAGAAACUGCUCAGCUAGAGGGCGAGAGAGGUUACUAGAAUUCCUAGUGUAGGAGUGAAAUCCGUAGAUAUUAGGAGGAAUACCGAUGGCGUAGGCAGGUAACUGGCUCGUCCCUGACACUAAGGCACGAAAGCGUGGGUAGCAAACGGGAUUAGAUACCCCGGUAGUCCACGCCGUAAACGAUGGAUGCUAGCUGUAAGAGGUAUCGACCCCUCUUGUAGCGAAGCUAACGCGUUAAGCAUCCCGCCUGUGGAGUACGGUCGCAAGACUAAAACAUAAAGGAAUUGACGGGGACCCGCACAAGCGGUGGAGCGUGUUGUUUAAUUCGAUGGUAAACGAAGAACCUUACCCAGGUUUGACAUCCUUGGAAUUUUUCCGAAAGGAAAGAGUGCUUUUAGAGCCAAGUGACAGGUGUUGCAUGGCCGUCGUCAGCUCGUGUCGUGAGAUGUUUGGUUAAGUCCAUCAACGAGCGCAACCCUUAUAGUCUGUUGUAUUUUUCAGGCUAGACUGCCCCGGUAACGGGGAGGAAGGAGGGGAUGAUGUCAGGUCAGUAUUACCCUUACAUCUGGGGCUACAAACACGCUACAAUGGCCGGUACAAAGGGCUGCCAAGUCGCGAGACGGAGCAAAUCCCAUCAAAGCCGGUCCCAGUUCGGAUAGCAGGCUGAAACUCGCCUGCUUGAAGUCGGAAUCGCUAGUAACGGUAGGUCAGCUAUACUACCGUGAAUACGUUCCCGGGUCUUGUACACACCGCCCGUCAAACCAUGAAAGUCGGGGGUACCUGACGUGUGAGCUUCGCCUCGCCCUAAGGUAAACUCGAUGAUUGGGGUU